Long non-coding RNA from Struthio camelus australis, 354 nucleotides. RefSeq lists it as uncharacterized. Lineage: Eukaryota; Metazoa; Chordata; Aves; Struthioniformes; Struthionidae. The record is from RefSeq and is a predicted model, not a curated record.
GUGCCAAAUGCCGACCUCUGCUCUGGAGGGUGUGCAAAGUUGCAGCAGGAAGCAUGCGAUGCUGUGGCAAAGAAGGAAGUCCCCCAGGACAGGGAAAAUGCAUCAUAUGCAACGUCGCUUGCAGGCUCUGAUGUAAUGCUCAUAUCUACGUGUGUUAGCUCUGGCUCCUGCUAGUCCACUCAGUUCUUCACUUCCAACCUGAAUCACCUGAAUGCUGAAAAUAGGAUGCACUAGAGCCCUAUGUCAACUUCAAUGAGCACCUGGGCUCUCCGGGCACUACAGGAGGAGGUGAGGGACAUGCCUUGUGUCCCAGGUUUCAGGGAGAGCUACCAGUCAUGGUAGUGAUGAGGUGCA